RNAcentral lists this transfer RNA (74 nucleotides) under Theionarchaea archaeon DG-70-1. RNAcentral describes it as "tRNA-Met". It matches the Rfam family "tRNA". Rfam says of the family: Transfer RNA (tRNA) molecules are approximately 80 nucleotides in length. Their secondary structure includes four short double-helical elements and three loops (D, anti-codon, and T loops). RNAcentral also lists the same sequence under 1 other name. Lineage: Archaea; Methanobacteriati; Methanobacteriota; Theionarchaea. The record is from RNAcentral.
GGGCCUGUAGCUUAGUUUGGAAGAGCGCCUGGCUCAUAACCAGGCGGGCAGGGGUUCAAAUCCCCCCAGGCCCA